This 465-nucleotide ribosomal RNA is filed under the name uncultured bacterium. Its description in RNAcentral is "bacterial SSU rRNA". It matches the Rfam family "Bacterial small subunit ribosomal RNA", at positions 335 to 798 of the family's 1533-position model. The record is from RNAcentral.
ACUCCUACGGGAGGCAGCAGUGAGGAAUAUUGGACAAUGGGCGGGAGCCUGAUCCAGCCAUGCCGCGUGCAGGAAGACUGCCCUAUGGGUUGUAAACUGCUUUUAUACGGGAAGAAACACUCCCUCGUGAGGGAAUUUGACGGUACCGUAAGAAUAAGGAUCGGCUAACUCCGUGCCAGCAGCCGCGGUAAUACGGAGGAUCCAAGCGUUAUCCGGAAUCAUUGGGUUUAAAGGUCCGUAGGCGGAUUAAUAAGUCAGUGGUGAAAUCCCAUCGCUUAACGAUGGAACUGCCAUUGAUACUGUUAGUCUUGAAUGAGGGUGCAGUGGUUGGAAUGUGUAGUGUAGCGGUGAAAUGCAUAGAUAUUACACAGAACACCGAUUGCGAAGGCAGAUCACUAACCCUAAAUUGACGCUGAGGGACGAAAGCGUGGGGAGCGAACAGGAUUAGAUACCCUGUAGGCUCUG